UACAGAGGUCUCAAGCGUUGUUCGGAUUCAUUGGGCGUAAAGGGUGCGUAGGUGGCGCCGUAAGUCGGGUGUGAAAUUUCGGAGCUUAACUCCGAAACUGCAUUUGAUACUGCGGUGCUUGAGGACUGGAGAGGAGACUGGAAUUCACGGUGUAGCAGUGAAAUGCGUAGAUAUCGUGAGGAAGACCAGUGGCGAAGGCGGCUCACUGGCCCGAUACUGACGCUGAGGCACGAAAGCGUGGGGAGCAAACAGG
This 253-nucleotide ribosomal RNA is filed under the name uncultured bacterium. RNAcentral describes it as "partial 16S ribosomal RNA". It matches the Rfam family "Bacterial small subunit ribosomal RNA", at positions 524 to 776 of the family's 1533-position model. The record is from RNAcentral.